Long non-coding RNA from Quercus robur (English oak), 361 nucleotides. RefSeq lists it as uncharacterized. NCBI's taxonomy places the organism in Eukaryota, Viridiplantae, Streptophyta, Magnoliopsida, Fagales, Fagaceae. The record is from RefSeq and is a predicted model, not a curated record. The transcript has 2 exons.
UUUAGUGUUGCAGUGCAUCCCAAAGAUCUACAUCUGGUAGUAAUUCGGGAAUGUUUCAUGAAGAAUGAUGUUGAAGAUUAUGAGUUUGCCUUGUUUGCUUCAAAAGGAUUUUGUUUUGUUUGAAGCUCUAAUUCUAGGUAUUGUUUGGGUAUUCUAGUUAUUGUUCAAUAAAUUAAUACUCAAGACUUCGUUUCUUAUUUGUCUGUAAUAAAUGUAGAAGUUUGAACUCCAAGAUACCUUUGUGGCAGUUUGUUGGAAGAUUGUCACUGGUUCAACUGUGGAUUGUAAUUUGUAUGUAAUUUAGCUUGUGUAAACCAUUAACAUCUGUGUGAAUUGUUUUCUAUUGUUUUUGAGUUUUGUA